Molecule: ribosomal RNA, 413 nt
Filed under: Hemilepistus aphganicus
Lineage: Eukaryota; Metazoa; Arthropoda; Malacostraca; Isopoda; Agnaridae
Description: partial large subunit ribosomal RNA
Rfam family: Bacterial large subunit ribosomal RNA
Source: RNAcentral
UGACUGUGCUAAGGUAGCAUAAUAAUUUGUAAUUUAAUUGAUUACUAGAAUGAAUGGUUUGACGAAAAAUAACCUUUCUUAUAUAAAAUUUAAAUUUAUCUAUUAGUAAAAAAGCUAAUAUUUAUUAAAAUGACGAUAAGACCCUAAAACCUUAAAAUAAUCUUUUUACUGGGGUGGUAAAUUAUUCAGCAUAAUUUUUUUGAACAUAAUAAAUGAAUUUGACUUUCUAUCAUUAAAUCCAAAAAGGUACUUUAGGGAUAACAGUAUAAUUCUUAUGGAGAGUAUCUUAUCGAUAUAAGAGAUUAUAACCUCGAUGUUGAAUUGAUAUAACAUUACUAAGCAGCUAUAAUAAAUGUAAGUCUGUUCGACUUUUUAAAUAUCACGUGAUCUGAGUUCAGACCGGAGCACAGUCA